UGUAGGAGGAUCAUUCUUGAUCUCCAAACAACGUAAAUAUUGGUGUCUUAAUUUUUUUUCUGUGAUGUGUGCUUGCUGAAAUUUAUUUUUGAUAUUUGCAUAGUAGCAGAUUGCACACUAUUGCUUGUGGUUUCGCUUUUACCGAUCUAUUCUGCUGCAGGGUAUUAAAUAUAACCCCUUAAUUCCAUUACACCAACCAAGCUAGAAAAACUGAGAUGCAAACAUAAAACUCGAAUAACAAAGAGACCAAAACGGCCACAGC
This 262-nucleotide long non-coding RNA is filed under the name Elaeis guineensis (African oil palm). Its description in RNAcentral is "long non-coding RNA (EGUI_LNC072126)". The record is from RNAcentral. Lineage: Eukaryota; Viridiplantae; Streptophyta; Magnoliopsida; Arecales; Arecaceae.